CAGAAACCUAACGAACAAGGAAACACUUAAGCUAAUAACAGCCAAAUCAUUUUUGUUCUGUCCUGGUGAGAGAUUAGUCAUGUCAUAUAAGCAGAGACCACACAGUGUCUCCUCUCAGAACUAGUUCAGCUUCAGCCAGAGAUUUUUUUCAGGAGCUCAGAUUCAAAAUGGGGAAUCCUGUGUGUGAACAAGGAGUUGUUCUCCAUACCUCCCCAGUCACAGUGACAAGCCAGAGACAUCACUAGUUUUCUGGACAGAGGUUUCAAUUUUGGAGGAGAUUAGAUAUACUCUUGGGGCAUCUUCUGUUCUCAUAUAACAGACAUAAAGUGAGGCUUCAGCUCUGAUGCCUGGUUCCUCUGAGAGAAUAGCAGGUGUUACUAACAACUAGGAUCCAAGAAUACCAAGAGGAGCAGCCAGGCAGCAAGUCUGACAGAGCUCCCAGUCUGCCAGAAGCUCUCCAAGGCAGGGACUGCAGUCCUCAAACUGCUCUGCCCAGUACAAUGUCUGAACACCUCCCAGUCCUUUGGAAUGCUUUGCCAUUUCUGUCAGCUUUACUGGUGCUUCUCUAUCCCAAUUCCCUUCUCUCCCAUGUGUGGGCAGUUACUGACCCCCCUGCUAGCUGUGGUGGUCAGUCAAACAAAAGUGGUCUGGGUGCCAUGGGUAUUCAGAAGAGUUGUCAUUGUUACCAAGACACAAACUCUGGUUGAAGGAGCUAUAAAGGACCCUCCAGCUGUGUAACAAAGAUCUGAUUUUAUCUCUAAUUGAUGACACAAAGACAGAGAUAAUAUAUGAGAAGUUCAGAUGAGAAGAGCAAAUAUUGAUAUUCAGGUAAGUGAUGCAAAAGUUGA
RNAcentral lists this long non-coding RNA (848 nucleotides) under Coturnix japonica (Japanese quail). RNAcentral's name for it is "lncRNA (ENSCJPG00005018224.1)". The record is from RNAcentral. Lineage: Eukaryota; Metazoa; Chordata; Aves; Galliformes; Phasianidae.